GACCCAUGUGGAUGAUGAGAGUGAUGUCAGCUGCAGAAACAUCACAGAGACGGCCAGCAUUCACUUGUGAUGUGUAGCUCGGACGCACUCGUCGUAGGAGGGAUGAUUUCGAACUGACCAAAAGCAGAAUAAUGAACUGAAUUACAAAGGGACGCCCUGGUCGGCAGAAGUUGGACGGAAACCACGUUGGAGGUCUGGUGUCCAGCAAGCCAGCAAUGCAGCAGCAGGGCACUGAUGUCUGCCCAUCACAGACGUCUGGCUGCGAGGCCGCCCCCUGCUCCCCAGUGCAAAGGAAGCAGAAUUCAGGCAACGCGGUGAAUGUUUCUCAGGCCUCGCUGAGGGAGAAAGCACCAGUUCAGGAUGCAGGGGACAUGAGUCCAAGCCAAAAAGAGAGAUGGUUUCAAACGAUGAAACUCAACCAAGUUUUGCCACAGUUUACCGCGUCAGGUCACAUUGCAGAUGGAACCAGUGCAUUUGAUAAUGAUUCAGUGAAAUGCCAAUCUUCAGGAGGCCCUCUAGGUGGCUCUAUUACCUCACCUCAAUCCAGAUCCAGUGAAACUACCUUGGACAUCAGUGCCCCCUCAGUGCCUCCAAAUAGAGUAACAUUGCACCCAUCAGGGACGACGGAAGCGUGCCAGCUACAAUCCAAAAUGUCCACAAAAGGCAGCUCCUCCACAGCUACACCCCAUCCGGGUGUUCCCAGGCCGGCUGUACCGUCACCUAAAGCACAACAAAAGCCACAAGUAGGAUGCAAUCAGCCGAAACCUUUAAACGUUGAGGUCACCGCAGGCCUCAAAACCGCGUCGUCCACCCACCUCGCCUCCCUCAAGGCUGGGAGGAGUGGAGCGGCGAACGACGCGAGUCAGGUCGGACUCAAAACGAGUGCCUUGGUAACCGGCGGGAGCGACGACAGUGUUGAUAAGACACGAGUGACCCCGGUGUCAGAGGAGGAAAGAGUAGCCAAGCGUAGGGAGCAGUGGCGGAUAAAAAAGAGGGAACAGAGAGCGAAGCUGGCAGCUAGGUCGACGAAAAGCAGAGAGCGAACACAAUUCACAGGAACAACGCUCCCGAGGCCGGUAACGCAGAAGGCAGGGGUAUCGCACGGUGGAGGUCUCAAACAUCCCCCUCCCCUAUCUUCUGUACAAAGUAUGUGCCCAAAACAAAGCGUGAGUAGCCCCAGGCCUCGAGAGGCACCUGCCAAUCGCUUACUGCAGAACGCUCGAGUGACGCUUGAUUCAUCUUCUGUGCCUCGACUUGUCAAGAAAGAGGAGAAAACGGACGAGGAGUCGGGGCCAGCCAGGUUGAACCCAGUUGGACCUAGUCCGAAUCAGAACACGUUAUUAAUUAAAGUAGAAAACCCGCAGGUCUCUAGGAAAGCACAGCCCGCUUUCACGCCUAACGUCAAGGUGGAACGAAGGAUAGAUUACCCCAGGAAGUUUUCGAACCACGCGUAUUUUUCCAACGUCAACCGGGCGAUCGCCAGAUGCCGAACGCCGCGGCAGAGACUCGUCGAAACGCAGAAGUGUUUCUCCAAUCAACGGAACUUAAGAGUCAAGUUCCCGUCCCUCGCCGCCAUCUACAAUUCGCGGAACGUCCCCAAAAUCCUCCCUAACGAGUCUCCCGAGCAGACGGCCUCCAGACGGAGGGAGUACUGGCGCAUCAAGAAGCGGGAGCAGCGCGCCAAGCAGUCCCUGGAGGUGAAGGCCCAGCUGAAGGAGAAGGACUCCCUGAUGAGGAGAGUCAAACGUUACCAGAAGAUCCUGGAGGAGAUGAGGAGGGCCCGAGCGCAGACCGUCGCCCUGGGGGGCCGGUCGACGGGCGGGAUGCUCACCCACGCCUCGGAGACCAUCGGCGGGUUCAUCAAAGAGGACGGGACGGUGACCGUCAGCCUUCCCCCGGUGCCGACGGACACGGCGGCGGCGGCGGGGCACGAGGCGGAACAGACCUCUUGUCUGCUCUCCGACGAUGGCGUCGUCGCGCACUCGCCGCAUCCGUCUCACGCCGGGCCUCUGGGCCACGGCAGGGACGCCGCGCUCGGGUACUCGGGACGGCUCGGCCACCGCCCGCCCCCGCCGCUGCGUCCGGCUCAGGUCCGAGUCACGCUGCCGCGGGACGGCCAGUCCGCCAACAAGCCUCCGCGCCUGCUGUCCAUCAGGCCCAGGACGCACUUUCAGAGAUCGGCCGCGGCGCACUCCAACCGCUCGGCGGGGCACAACGCCGCUCAGAUCACUCUCACGCACCCUCCGUUUCCCCGGGCCGCCGGGUCCGAGGUGUCAGCGACGGGGGUCAGCGGCGGCGGCGGCGGAGGCUGCGUCAUGAAGAUGGCGGUCUCUUCGCUGUUGGCGCCGCCGUGUGAGGACGCGGGGCUGACCGAGGAGCAACGCAUGGCCAAGAAGAGAGAGUACUGGAGGGUGAAGAAGAGGGAGCAGAGGGCGGCCCGGGCCACUAAGCUGAAGCACGGCUUAUUGCCGGCGUGGGACGCAGCCAUGCAAAGGAGGAAGACCCACAAGCAGACGCCCCUUCAGCGGUCGGCCAUGACGGCCAAUACCGCUACGCAAAUCAGGAAUUCUGCCAAACAGAAAAUGAACGUCCUCCCCUCCUGUAAUGUUAAUGUGCCUAAUCCUCAGCAGGCGAAGCAGAUCAAAGUGGAGAGGGAACCCGUACCGGCCUCUGACCUAAACAUUCGACCUGAACGAGCCAUCUGUCCAAUCAAACAGGCCCCCUCGCCGUCGCCUCCGCUGGCCUUGCCUCAGCCAGAGCCCGAUCCAACCCUGAGUGCCGAAACCCAGGCGACCACUCUUCUCGCCGUGGCCUCCAUGAAAAAGCUGCUGGAAGAAUCCCUCAGCACCGUGACUGAAUGUCAGCCCGCCGCCAUAAAAACAGAGCCGCCGCCUCCUUGUAAAGCCGAGAGAGAGGAGGACGUCUCAGACGAGCACUUGGUGCAGGAGAUGAAAUCGGAGAUCCCGGAGGCCUCCCUAGGAGGAGAAGAAGACGACGACAAGCUGCCGUUGGCUGCCAACCUGACGCUGCAGAUCAAAAGCUGGCAGGCGGACCCUGAUGACUCGGGGCAUGCCUGUCCGCGAGACCCUUACCCUUAUGCCUCAACCCAGACCGGCGAAUCCUCCACCCCGCUGUCCUCCACAACCCCGGACCCCCAGUGCCCCACUGCCUUAGGCGAGGGGGGUCCGACGCAGACGUUGUCUCCCCUACGUCGGGCCAAAAGGCUGUGCACCAAAAAGUCGGGCAAUCACCUUCAGCAUUGUUGCUCCUCAGAGCCGCCGAGGCUGCACCACUCCCCCGCCACGCCGCCGCCGCCGCCACAGAGGGUGCAACCGGCGGCGCCGCCUUCACGAUGCCUACUGCAGCCUCGGCCGUCCGCUCCGCAGCAACCGUUCAGGAGGCCGCUGUUCGUGGAGCCUGUGGGAGGGGAGGGCGGUAUGAGCUGUGGCAACAGCCUGCAGGAGAAGAGGGAGUACUGGAAGCUGAAGAAGAGACAGCAGAGAGCCCGCUCAAAAGCCAGGCAGAAGGGGGGGCCGGGUCACAGACAGAACAGCAGGCUCUCGUCCCAAAACAACGCACAGACUCUGAAUCCCCUCUCGGUCAACCACGCCCCGUCGGGGAAGAGCCCGACGAGUCCGCCGGCCAAACGCUGCCUGCAGCCCAAGGCCCCCACCGCCACUCUCACCGCGGUGCACAGCAUCCCCACGCUGCUGGUGGUCAGUCCCACCGCGUCCAACGACGGGCGCUCCCCCGACCUGCUCCAGGUCAAACCGCCGGUCUGCAGCUCCACCUCCUCGCCUGGCCGGGGCCGGCGCGAGGUCAACGCCCGGCCCUCCGGCACGUCCUGUGACCCCGACGCGUCGGAGUGCCACAAGGGCGCGACGGCGGACGGCGACGUCGACGUCCCCUCGUCCGACGGGGUGUCGGACGCCGAGCUGCGUCUGGCGGAGAAGCCGACGCCCGAGUCCAGAGUGAGGAGGUGGACCGUGCACGAGAAUAGCAACGCGGCGCCGGCUCUCGCUACUCUCACCCCCCCAGACAACCCGCUGUCCAGCAUCAACCUCUUCCCCAUCGAGCCCCUCGCUCCGACCUCGGGUCGCCACGCCUCUUACGGCAGCCCCGUGAGGCCCGCCCACACUCAGCCCCCCAAGCCCAAACCCGCGCAUGCCUCCCCGACCAAACUGGUGCCCUUAAGCACCCUGGCCCCCCCGAAACCCAUCCCGGGGGAGUCCCAGGAAGAGUUCCUGAGGCGGAAGAGGGAGUACUGGAGGGUCAAGAAGAAGGAGCAGAGAGCGAGGAAGGCCAUCCGGGACCGGGAGCUGUCCCAAAGGAGAGCGCCUGGCAACUGGAAGCCCAUUAGGCCCGCUAAGGACCAAGAGCGGCCCCAAUACACCGAGAACCAGGUAGGGGCUCCAAGUUGAUCCCGUCUCAAGCAGUUGUCCGUCACGGUAAACACACCGGGCUCACCUUGUUUUCUGUGUGUUCUUAUAGGACCUGGGAGAUUGUGACCCUGCCUACGAGGACUCGGAACGUCUUAUGAGGCAAGCAGCACUGGAUGUUAUGGAUAAACCUCCCAAUGUCUGUGGAAGCGCCGCCUAAAAAUGUGAUUUACAUCGUUUCUUUCUUUCUUUUCUUCCGCAGCUCGACCUCAGACGCUGAAAUGGGCUAUUAUUCGUACUCAAGCGACACUGUCCAGCUAGAAGGUGAAUUGAUGCUUGCAUUAGCUAUCUUCUAAAUCUUAACUACAUUGCCUUGUCAUUUCCUUUACUUAUCUAUUUUAUUUUAUUUUAUGACAAAGUACUUUGAUUCUGCCUCGUGUAGGAAAAGUGCUAUAUAAAUAAAGUUGCCUUGCCUUGAACGUAACCCCUUCACAUCGAGCUUUACACCCGUGUUUCCUCGUCCCCUCCCAGACGGCGACCCCGACCACGGCUUCGCCGACCACGGCUGCGGCGGCGGCCUCCUGGACGCCGACCACGGCUGCGGCGGCGGCGGCGGCGGCGGCGAGGACCUGGGCUCCGUCUCGGACGGCGCGUGGCGGAGCCGCUACCUCAUGGACCACGACCCGCUGAACCAGCUGCUGGUGUGCAUGGUGUGCGGCGACCUGCUCUACUCCCACAGCCUGGAGGGCGUCCGGGCCCACAUCGAGGAGGCCCACCCGGACACCCUGAACCUGGAGCCGCCCGAGUGCCGGCGCAUCCUGGACGCCUGGGACGAGCAGGUGUCCCAGCGGGAGCGCUUCUUCACCAGCCAGCUGCAGCAGCACGGAGCCACUCUGGCAGGUAAAAGGACGAGGGGUUUAACAGGGUGACACCCCCCCCCCCCCCCCCCCCCCCCAUCACUGAGGAAAGGUCUCGGUGUGUAGGGGGCGGUUAAGAAGGGGAGACCGGUGUGUGUGUGUUUUGAAAUGGAGAGAAAAUGACCAGCUUUUACAGUUGUGCUUUUAGAUCCCAUUUCUGUGUUUUCAUUCUGUUUGGGUGUGUUCAAUAAAUUAGGAUUAGUGUGAAGGAAAGCUUAUUUGAGUACGUCUCAGGCUGAAAAUUAACUGAUGUUGUGGACGCUGGGAUGCAAAGAAUGGGAACAGGAGAAUAGGAGAUCAAAUUCAUAAUUGAUCAAAAUAUUUUGACUUCGGUGUGACUGAAAGAGAUUUUGAGACAUCUUACCUCUUCAACGAUAUAUAUCAUUGUACAAUGUGUCGGGAACUGCACGUUGAAUUUCCUCUGCAAUCUACAAACCUAGUUCACCGCAUAUUUCUUUUCCAGAAGCGAACGGGAGCUAAAUUGGAAAAACCUCAAAGGGACAAGAAACAAAAGAUUACACACCAGAGAUGACCAUCAUGUUCCCUGUCAUCUACCGUUCUUCUUUUCUGUGAUUGCGAUGGCUUUUGUUGAUCACUCAUCUCAGUCAUCUUCAACCGACCAAUCUCCCAAUCCAUCGUCCCCUCACUCACAAACAAGACCCAGAGAUACUUGAACUCCUUCACUUGGGGUAAGGACUCAUUCCCCCCCCCCCCCCCCCCCCUUUGUUCAUGGGCUACUUUUAAUUGAAUGCUGUACAGGGAACACGCCUACAAGUUUGUUUAUAUUUUACCUAAUUUCUAACGGAAACACAGAGCACAAGUCUUAACAAGGUUUUUUGUAAUAUUGUAAUUAUUUGGAAAGAGUUGACAAAUUGCAGACUGUUUACUAUGUUAUUACUGCACAAAUAAACGGUUGAUACAGUAUGUAUACUCUUAACUAAAUUAUGCAUGUCAUUUUCUAGCUGCUUAAUGCAUUAGUGACCUUACACCACUGAUUGCCAGCUUUUUUAAAAUUUGUACCCAACCUUCUUAGACAGGUGUAGAUCUAGUUAGAACAUCAACUCCACUUCACCAUGCGAAAAAAAACAUGUCGACUGUAAACAUGAAACAAGACUUUUUUUUGUUACAAUCAAGUUAUAUGUAAGUAAUAUGCCAAAUCGUUUACUUGUACAAAUUGGGUUUCUUACAAUCCACCUUUCAAUGGAAAUGUAACCUUGUUUAUUUAUUGCAAGCUUCGUCAUACAGCUUGUUUAGUUAUUAUUGGUAUGCCUAGCUAGUUUUGUGUUGAUUCUCAUCUGUGGAUACUCCACUUUUUCUUGCAUGUGCUGUAAGUGGAUGCACAGCGGGUUCAAAAUGGGCUCUGCGAUGCGUUUACAAGGUGACCAAUUCAUUGGCUCUCUAAUGUUGUAUGUUCCAUUGAGCACAUAGUCUUUAACUCGUCAUUUUAUAUUUGAAUAAAACCAGAGGAAAAAAAAACCUGCACGACAAGUUUGGUAUCGGUAACAAAUCAAGCCAUUUGAGAAUGUAAUUUUGAAGCUAACUCGUAUGUUGUUUAAAAAAAGGAAUGCUUUUUUUUCUGAACAAAUAAAUAUUUUAUACCUUUUGGGUGGUUGUUCCUGUGAUUGAAUCUCACCC
Long non-coding RNA from Gadus morhua (Atlantic cod), 6931 nucleotides. NCBI's taxonomy places the organism in Eukaryota, Metazoa, Chordata, Actinopteri, Gadiformes, Gadidae. The record is from Ensembl.